GAUGAAGAACGUAGCGAAAUGCGAUCCUUGGUGUGAAUUGCAGAAUCCCGUGAACCAUCGAGUCUUUGAACGCAAGUUGCGCCUCAAGCCAUUAGGUUGAGGGCACGUCUGCCUGGGCGUCACAUAUCGUUGCCUGAUGCCAGUUUCCUCGUGAUGGGUGACUGUGCAGGGCGAAUGAUGGCUUCCCGUGAGCAUUGUUGCCUCAUGGUUGGUUGAAAAUUGAGUCCUUGGUAGGGAGCGCCGUGAUAGAUGGUGGUUGAGUGACGAACGAGACCCAAUCAUGUGAGACCCCUACCGAAUUUGGCCUUCAUGACCCACAUGCGUCUUUGGAACGCUCAUGACGAGACCUCAGGUCAGGCGGGGCUACCCGCUGAGUUUAAGCAUAUCAAUAAGCGGAGGA
RNAcentral lists this unclassified non-coding RNA (400 nucleotides) under soil metagenome. RNAcentral's name for it is "partial contains 5.8S ribosomal RNA, internal transcribed spacer 2, and large subunit ribosomal RNA". The stretch from base 1 to 122 matches the Rfam family "5.8S ribosomal RNA", at positions 35 to 154 of the family's 154-position model. The record is from RNAcentral.